CAGCCGUAAACUAUGCGCGUUAGGUGUAUCGGUGACCACGAGUUACCGAGGUGCCGAAGGGAAACCGUGAAACGUGCCGCCUGGGAAGUACGGUCGCAAGGCCGAAACUUAAAGGAAUUGGCGGGGGAGCACCACAACAGGUGGAGCCUGCGGUUUAAUUGGACUCAACGCCGGGAAGCUCACCGGAUAGGACAGCAGAAUGAUUGCCGGGCUGAAGACCCUGCAUGACUAGCUGAGAGGAGGUGCAUGGCGUGGACGUCU
Molecule: ribosomal RNA, 261 nt
Filed under: uncultured archaeon
Lineage: Archaea
Description: partial 16S ribosomal RNA
Rfam family: Archaeal small subunit ribosomal RNA
Source: RNAcentral